RNAcentral lists this long non-coding RNA (396 nucleotides) under Eucalyptus grandis. RNAcentral's name for it is "long non-coding RNA (EGRA_LNC003787)". Lineage: Eukaryota; Viridiplantae; Streptophyta; Magnoliopsida; Myrtales; Myrtaceae. The record is from RNAcentral.
GAAGCUGAAAGACCAUCGAGGUCAAAUAAGCUGCUUCAAAACCUAACCAAGUUGAGAGUCCUUGCUCUCGACGGGUUAAACCUGUCUGGCAUUGAUGUGACUUGCUUAAUGAAUCUCUCUCCAUCUCUGGAAGUCCUCAGCCUCAGUUACUGUAAAUUGCGGGGCACAUUAGCAGCAAACAUUUUCCUUUUGCCAAAGCUGACAUGUCUCAAUUUAUCAGGCAACAAGGAGCUUUCGGGUUACUUACCUGAAGCAACUUGGAACAGCUCUUUGAAGGUUUUGGACUUGUCCUCCUCAGGCUUCUCUGGAGUAUUAGCAGAGUCCAUCGGCGACCUGCAUUCUCUGCAGAUACUUUGGCUGAACCGGUGCAGCUUCACAGGCUCUAUUCCAUCAUCA